RNAcentral lists this ribosomal RNA (349 nucleotides) under uncultured Glomeromycotina. RNAcentral describes it as "SSU rRNA". It matches the Rfam family "Eukaryotic small subunit ribosomal RNA", at positions 569 to 923 of the family's 1831-position model. The record is from RNAcentral. Lineage: Eukaryota; Fungi; Glomeromycota.
AGCAGCCGCGGUAAUUCCAGCUCCAAUAGCGUAUAUUAAAGUUGCUGCAGUUAAAAAGCUCGUAGUUGAAUUUCGGGACCAUCAUGUCGGUCGUGCCUCGGUACGUACUGGCAUUGUUGGUUUCUACCUUCUGACGAACCAUGAUGUCAUCUAUUUGGUGUCGUGGGGAAUCAGGACUGUUACUUUGAAAAAAUUGAGUGUUUAAAGCAGGCUCACGCUUGAAUACAUUAGCAUGGAAUAAUGAAAUAGGACGUUUGAUUCUAUUUUUGUUGGUUUCUAGGAUCGACGUAAUGAUUAAUAGGGAUAGUUGGGGGCAUUAGUAUUCAAUUGUCAGAGGUGAAAUUCUUGG